Long non-coding RNA from Lontra canadensis (Northern American river otter), 148 nucleotides. RefSeq lists it as uncharacterized. The record is from RefSeq and is a predicted model, not a curated record. The transcript has 3 exons. NCBI's taxonomy places the organism in Eukaryota, Metazoa, Chordata, Mammalia, Carnivora, Mustelidae.
UAGUGGGGAAAACAAGACUUCUUUAUACAAAGAUUUACUAAGUACUUAUGCACUAGACACUGAAAAUAAAGAAAUAAAUAUCACCAUCAAGAGUUCACAAUCCAGUAAGAGAGGGAGGAUUAUAAAGACCUCAAACAGUAAGAAGCCU